Non-coding RNA from Kluyveromyces marxianus DMKU3-1042, 93 nucleotides. NCBI's taxonomy places the organism in Eukaryota, Fungi, Ascomycota, Saccharomycetes, Saccharomycetales, Saccharomycetaceae. The record is from the annotation of a RefSeq genome assembly.
AGACAGGCCUACGGGGGGCCUGGCUGAGGAGGCUCCGACCCUUCUGAAGGUGGAGGCGUCGUCUGCUGCGGUUUCGAAUACCGUCUUUGUCUU